GUUUUCAUUAAUCAAGAACGAAAGUUAGGGGAUCGAAGACGAUCAGAUACCGUCGUAGUCUUAACCAUAAACGAUGCCGACCAGCGAUUAGGAGACGUUGAAUACAAAACACCUCUAUAUAUAAUUCAGUAUAUGGUCAGUCAAAUGAUUGUAUAUUGUUUGUAUAUAGUUACGGUGAAUGACUCCCCUAGAGCUUGUGAGAA
RNAcentral lists this ribosomal RNA (203 nucleotides) under Acanthamoeba sp. RNAcentral describes it as "partial small subunit ribosomal RNA". It matches the Rfam family "Eukaryotic small subunit ribosomal RNA", at positions 966 to 1096 of the family's 1831-position model. Lineage: Eukaryota; Discosea; Longamoebia; Acanthamoebidae. The record is from RNAcentral.